This is a long non-coding RNA of Nycticebus coucang (slow loris), 633 nucleotides long. RefSeq lists it as uncharacterized. The transcript has 3 exons. The record is from RefSeq and is a predicted model, not a curated record. NCBI's taxonomy places the organism in Eukaryota, Metazoa, Chordata, Mammalia, Primates, Lorisidae.
CAGGCGCGGGCCUCCAGGCGCCGCCCGGAGCGCUCAGGGGCAGUAGGCGCCGCCGGGACGCGAGGUUGGCUUCUAACUUACCUGCGCCGGCCUCUGAGCGGGAUGGAUACCUGAGACGCCCAUAGGGCACCUUCCUCAGGGUUAGAGUCCAGUGGUGUCAUCAUAGCUCACUGCAACCUCCAACUCCUGGGCUCAGAUGAUCCUUCUGCCUCUGCCUCCUGAGUAGCUGGAACUAUAGUUGGAUGAAAGAAUGUUUCUUAGAUGCCCAGUGUGCAAUCAACAUGGAUGGAUAUGAAAGAAGCAUGUACCCUAGCUUGAUCCUCCGGGCAUCUGAAUCCUGAUAGGAAGAUGAGACAGCAUGAGACCUUGCCAAGCUGCUGUGAAACUGAAUGCUAAGCUAUGUCUUCUGUGCCCUUGGUGUUCAUGGAAAAGGAGGGCCAUGCCAGCUGCACUGGCUAAGGAUUAGAGCUAAGGAGGGAUGCAUGAAAAAGUGUGGAGCAAAGCCAUGAAGGAUAGGUAGAAUCUGGAGAAGUGGUAGGUGAAGAGAGCAUUCUGGGUUAGGGGGACAACCUGAACACCUGGAGCAGGGGUUUAGUAAAUAUUUGUUGGACAAAUGAAGGAACGAAUGCACAA